This 324-nucleotide long non-coding RNA is filed under the name Rhopalosiphum maidis (corn leaf aphid). RNAcentral describes it as "uncharacterized LOC113560227". Lineage: Eukaryota; Metazoa; Arthropoda; Insecta; Hemiptera; Aphididae. The record is from RNAcentral.
CACAUUUCUACCACAUUGGAGAGUACAAAAUCGCAUGUUGAAUAUUGACCAGAAGACACUGACAAUAAGAAUGGUUUUAUACAAUAUGGCAUUAGAGCAGAUCACUCAAGGCAUGCGCAGACAAUAAUUCACAUUUCUACCACAUUGGAGAGUACAAAAUCACAUGUUGAAUAUUGACCGGAAGACACUGACAAUCAGAAUGGUUUUAUGCAAUAUGGCAUUAGAGCAGAUCACUCAAGGCAUGCGCAGACAAUAAUUCACAUUUCUACCACUUUGGAGAGUACAAAAUCACAUGUUGAAUAUUGACCAGAAGACACUGACAAU